AUGUGGCCACGGGGCCACAGGGCAUCUCGGCAGAUGGAUGUUCUUAUGCAGAUUAAUGAGGAUGGGGACCGCUGCAGAACUGUAAGCCCCCCAGGGGCUGACGGAAGCCUGGGAACACCCGAGACACCAGAGUCGCUGCUGCCCUGGGUGGAAGGAUACCUGCCCUGGAAGAUGGGAAACGCAAUAAGGAGAAAGUACCAAGGCAGUGGCUCCCCACCUGUGAGUGGUCAGAAAGGUUCACGCAGUUUUCCAGGGCGGCCUUUGCAUUUACUGGAACUAUUAAGAGCUCGUUCCUGCUUCGGCGGCGAUUGACAUGCAGUGCGCGUGAGGCCGUGCGUGGCUUAGUGUCUUCUCUAGGCUUACAGGUAAGUUUUUGUUCUUCCCCAAGCCUGCUCCGCUGUGCGGAGUGUUCACUGCGGGCGACGGUCACGCUGUCUGGCACAGGCCACCGAGGCCACAGGGCAGGUUCCACGUAGCGGAGCCUGCAGAAUGGCAGAGCCCGGCCUCCUCGCCGCCCUUCAUGGGGAGCAGAAAGCAAAAGCCUGUGAUCAGAGCUGUGCUAGCCCAGAAAGCCUCUGAACAGGUUGAAUUGAGGAAUCGGCUCCUACCAACUGCCCAUGUUUAGGAUGGAUGUGUUUGAGUUUUUGUGAUUUUUCCUGCACUGAAGCUACUGGGCUGGCUCUGAGUCACCGUCAUGGGACUUCACUUGUCCCGACGGGAAGCGGCGGGGGAGGAGGGCUGCACAGAGGCUUGCGGCCCUGAUAAUGAAGGGUUUGUUGCCUCUUGGGACAGCGAGUUCAAACUCUUUGUAAUUGUCAGCGUAAAUAGUGACCCGCUGAGGGCACGGCUGUAAUUCAGGGUGGCAUGGUUGAUUGUCAUCGUUGAU
Molecule: long non-coding RNA, 886 nt
Filed under: Macaca mulatta (Rhesus monkey)
Lineage: Eukaryota; Metazoa; Chordata; Mammalia; Primates; Cercopithecidae
Description: lncRNA (ENSMMUG00000057367.1)
Source: RNAcentral